This 73-nucleotide transfer RNA is filed under the name Ipomoea nil (Japanese morning glory). It matches the Rfam family "tRNA". Rfam says of the family: Transfer RNA (tRNA) molecules are approximately 80 nucleotides in length. Their secondary structure includes four short double-helical elements and three loops (D, anti-codon, and T loops). The record is from Rfam by way of RNAcentral. Lineage: Eukaryota; Viridiplantae; Streptophyta; Magnoliopsida; Solanales; Convolvulaceae.
GCCCGUCUAGCUUAGUCGGUAGAGCGCAAGGCUCUUAACCUUGUGGUCCUGGGUUCAAGUCCCAGGGUGGGCG